RNAcentral lists this ribosomal RNA (253 nucleotides) under uncultured bacterium. Its description in RNAcentral is "partial 16S ribosomal RNA". It matches the Rfam family "Bacterial small subunit ribosomal RNA", at positions 524 to 776 of the family's 1533-position model. The record is from RNAcentral.
UACGGAGGAUCCAAGCGUUAUCCGGAAUCAUUGGGUUUAAAGGGUCCGUAGGCGGUUUUGUAAGUCAGUGGUGAAAGCCCAUCGCUCAACGGUGGAACGGCCAUUGAUACUGCAAGACUUGAAUUAUUAGGAAGUAACUAGAAUAUGUAGUGUAGCGGUGAAAUGCUUAGAGAUUACAUGGAAUACCAAUUGCGAAGGCAGGUUACUACUAAUUGAUUGACGCUGAUGGACGAAAGCGUGGGGAGCGAACAGG